GGAUUAAUGGCAGAACUGGCUAAUGCGUGAUAUUUGAGCUAUCAUACUUUAUAGUACUGUAGGUUCGAAUCCUACUUAAUCCG
Non-coding RNA from Ogataea philodendri, 83 nucleotides. NCBI's taxonomy places the organism in Eukaryota, Fungi, Ascomycota, Pichiomycetes, Pichiales, Pichiaceae. The record is from the annotation of a RefSeq genome assembly.